This 445-nucleotide ribosomal RNA is filed under the name Paracoccus marcusii. RNAcentral's name for it is "bacterial SSU rRNA". It matches the Rfam family "Bacterial small subunit ribosomal RNA", at positions 68 to 559 of the family's 1533-position model. The record is from RNAcentral. Lineage: Bacteria; Pseudomonadati; Pseudomonadota; Alphaproteobacteria; Rhodobacterales; Paracoccaceae.
GAGACCUUCGGGUCUAGCGGCGGACGGGUGAGUAACGCGUGGGAACGUGCCCUUCUCUACGGAAUAGCCCCGGGAAACUGGGAGUAAUACCGUAUACGCCCUUUGGGGGAAAGAUUUAUCGGAGAAGGAUCGGCCCGCGUUGGAUUAGGUAGUUGGUGGGGUAAUGGCCCACCAAGCCGACGAUCCAUAGCUGGUUUGAGAGGAUGAUCAGCCACACUGGGACUGAGACACGGCCCAGACUCCUACGGGAGGCAGCAGUGGGGAAUCUUAGACAAUGGGGGCAACCCUGAUCUAGCCAUGCCGCGUGAGUGAUGAAGGCCUUAGGGUUGUAAAGCUCUUUCAGCUGGGAAGAUAAUGACGGUACCAGCAGAAGAAGCCCCGGCUAACUCCGUGCCAGCAGCCGCGGUAAUACGGAGGGGGCUAGCGUUGUUCGGAAUUACUGGGC